UACGUAGGGCGCGAGCGUUGUCCGGAAUUAUUGGGCGUAAAGAGCUCGUAGGCGGCCUGUUGCGUCCGCUGUGAAAUCCCAGGGCUCAACCCUGGGCGUGCAGUGGAUACGGGCAGGCUGGAGGCAGGCAGGGGAGAAUGGAAUUCCCGGUGUAGCGGUGAAAUGCGCAGAUAUCGGGAGGAACACCGGUGGCGAAGGCGGUUCUCUGGGCCUGUACUGACGCUGAGGAGCGAAAGCGUGGGGAGCGAACAGG
This 253-nucleotide ribosomal RNA is filed under the name uncultured bacterium. RNAcentral's name for it is "partial 16S ribosomal RNA". It matches the Rfam family "Bacterial small subunit ribosomal RNA", at positions 524 to 776 of the family's 1533-position model. The record is from RNAcentral.